Kogia breviceps (pygmy sperm whale) is the source of this 1154-nucleotide non-coding RNA. The record is from RefSeq and is a predicted model, not a curated record. NCBI's taxonomy places the organism in Eukaryota, Metazoa, Chordata, Mammalia, Artiodactyla, Physeteridae.
AAACUGUCCAGAAACGGAGGCUGGGAGGCCUGGAGGCCCUCUGAUGGAGAAACUGAGGUGCAGAGAGGUGUGGGGACUCGCCAACACCUGUUCCCAUUCCAGCUGGAAUCAGGGCCAGAUGAGCUGACAGAUGACCGUGAGGAGGUGGACUCAAACCACAACCUGCCAGAAGCCCUGGUGCACAGAAGAGCCCCGCCACAGCACAUCCGCGGCUGCCAGUCCUGAUGGGCCUGCUGGCCAGGUUGGCCCUCCGCCGGUGUCUGGAACUGUGGCUGCUAAACAGCUCCCUACACUGACAACAACUUCCCCGCUAUGUUCACCCAUCUUUAGAUGUACUGAUGUGUGGACAUUCACCGUCCUGUUGUAUUGGGCAGAGGAGCCUUUGCUGAGCUGUGGAUGUUUUACCGGGUAUAGAUCGAAGGGGAAGGACAAAGGGGAGUGUCCCCCAGUGGGCGGCUGCAAUGAGAAGCGCAUGCUGUCCCUGCUGCCCCACUGCGGCGAAGCCUUUGCCGAAAGGAUGAAGAAGGUGGAGGUCUGGAAGUGGUGCAACUUGUCGGAGUUCAUCGUCACCGGCCAGGGCUGGGUUUGUAGUCGGGACCAGUGGACCCCAGAGAAACUGAACCCCGCUGGUUUCUACCUGGUGUGGUGGGAGCAGUGCCUCACCACAAAGGGCCCCACGCUCUAGAAGCUCCCGAGGUUUUUGAUCUCCUCUGGUCACACCUAGCAUCAAGUAUCAAGGUGACCCUUUCACCUCCUCAGAAAUCACCUAUGGGCUGUGCCCCCCCCCCUCCUCCACUUCCCACUUGGCCAUCUCAACCUGGUGCGCUGCUGGCGGCCGCUGCAGACUCAGACUGUCCUGUGAGCCGCGCCUGCCUGGAGGCUCCAUCCUCCCUGGGAGCCCCGGGUUUGCUCAGUCACAUCAGCCCUUUCCCCUCCAAGACCCCGGCCCCUGUGCUCUCUGCCCCCAGUGGCUCUUCUAGGGGCUUCCACGCCCGACUCCCCAGGGGACGGCGGCUCCUUGUGGGCAUGUUCACAGGCCCCUCGCAGACAUAGUUGUUCGCUGAACCAAACGGUACUACGAGAGCUUCACCAACUGCACCGAGGUGGAGACCAACAUGGUGGGCUGCUACUGGCCCAACCCCUUGGCGGAGAGC